ACCUCAAGUCAUGUGAGAGUACCCGCUGAACUUAAGCAUAUCAAUAAGCGGAGGAAAAGAAACUAACAAGGAUUCCCCUAGUAACGGCGAGUGAAGCGGGAAGAGCACAAAUUUUAAAUCUACCUGGUUUUCAGGUCGAGUUGUAAUUUGAAGAAACGUUUUUUACGUUCCGGGUUGGAUUAAAUCCUUUGGGAUAAGGUAUCAUGGAGGGUGAGAAUCCCGUGUAUACCAACCACUGGAAUGUUAUUAAUACGAUUUCUAAGAGUCGAGUUGUUUGGGAAUGCAGCUCUAAAUGGGUGGUAAAUUUCACCUAAUGCUAAAUAUAAGCGAGAGACCGAUAGUGAACAAGUACCGUGAGGGAAAGAUGAAAAGAACUUUGAAAAGAGAGUUAAAUAGUACGUGAAAUUGUUGAAAGGGAAACGGUUGAAGUCAGUCAUGCCGGUGGGAAUCAACUUAGGGGAAACUCUGAGUGCACUUCUUCGCUUGGCAGGUUAGCGUCGAUUUUGGAUGUCAUAAAAUGACUGGGGGAAGGUAGCUCCUUCGGGAGUGUUAAGCCCUUAGUAGAUGUGAUGUCUGAGAUCGAGGAUUGCAACGAAUACCUUUUAGGCUAGCCGCCUGGUCUCUAAUACGAACUUAGGUUACGGACAGCAUGCUGACUGUGAUCUAAUCUUCGGUUAAAAGAUUAGAGUGAGUGUAAAUUCGUUAAGGACGCUGACGUAAUGGCUUUAAACGACCCGUCUUGAAACACGGACCAAGGAGUCUAACAUGUAUGCGAGUGUUAGGGUAAUAAACCCAGACGCGAAAUGAAAGUGAGUUUAGGUGGGAUCCUUUAUUGGAGCACCAUCAACCGAUCUUGAGAUUUAUCGAUAGAAUUGAGUUAUAGCAUACCUGUUGGGACCCGAAAGAUGGUGAACUAUGCCUGAAUAGAGUGAAGCCAGAGGAAACUCUGGU
This 951-nucleotide ribosomal RNA is filed under the name Cetraspora nodosa. RNAcentral describes it as "eukaryotic LSU rRNA". It matches the Rfam family "Eukaryotic large subunit ribosomal RNA", at positions 1 to 868 of the family's 3401-position model. The record is from RNAcentral. Lineage: Eukaryota; Fungi; Glomeromycota; Glomeromycetes; Diversisporales; Gigasporaceae.